RNAcentral lists this long non-coding RNA (706 nucleotides) under Solanum lycopersicum (tomato). RNAcentral's name for it is "long non-coding RNA (SLYC_LNC000458)". The record is from RNAcentral. Lineage: Eukaryota; Viridiplantae; Streptophyta; Magnoliopsida; Solanales; Solanaceae.
CCACCUCCAGAUUUCGGCCUACCGUUGUCUCCGUACCUAUUAGGUGACGACCCAAGAUAUCCCUGAUGAUAAUGCUGACCACCCCCAACCUCCGGUCUAGCCCUCACUCCCUGACCACCCUUCGCAACAUCCGGGACCGGUUUCUCCUCCCUGCCUACAAAUCCCGGUCUCAGAUGUGGGGGCACGAACCGGUUCGACUUUGGCAAAGGCGACUGCAAAGGUGAAGGCGGAUUCACAGGAGAUGAUGAAAGUGAGGUGGUGGUGGUGGGUCCAGCCCCAGUACGGCCUUGUGGACGAAGCGAGAUAGAGUCAGAUUCAGCUCCAGCUCCAGCUCGGAUUUGAUCCGGUGCGCUCGGGCUUUGUAACUUUGGUUGUUGCUGGAUCGGAAUAGGCUGGGUUUGUGGAAUAGCGAUUGGCUUUGGAGUAGGCCGGCUCAGAACAAGCAUAUGUCCAUGGAUACGAGAGUUGGAGAUAAUAGUCUUGUUACGACUAUCGAACGACGACGACGAAGAAGAGUUUGAUUUACCAGAGGUGGCGGAGUUGGGAGUAGUUUUCUUCUCGUAGAUGUCGUUAAAGUUAAGGGAGGUAUAUUUAUUGGUUCUUGCCAUCCACCGCCGCCGCCGCGUUCCGCCGUGAAAGGAGAGGAAAAUGUAACUACCGGUGAUCGGAAAAAGAGAACAAAUGGCUUUUACGAUCUCGUUUUUUG